RNAcentral lists this ribosomal RNA (460 nucleotides) under uncultured bacterium. RNAcentral's name for it is "partial 16S ribosomal RNA". It matches the Rfam family "Bacterial small subunit ribosomal RNA", at positions 338 to 795 of the family's 1533-position model. The record is from RNAcentral.
CCUACGGGUGGCAGCAGUGAGGAAUAUUCGUCAAUGGGCUUACGCCUGAACCAGCCAAGUCGCGUGCGGGAAGACUGCCCUAUGGGUUGUAAACCUCUUUUGUCAGGGAGCAACGCCGGCUACGUGUAGCCGGACUGAGAGUACCUGAAGAAAAAGCAUCGGCUAACUCCGUGCCAGCAGCCGCGGUAAUACGGAGGAUGCGAGCGUUAUCCGGAUUGAUUGGGUUUAAAGGGUGCGUAGGCGGAAUGCCAAGUCAGCGGUAAAAUCGCGGGGCUCAACCUCGCUCCGCCGUUGAAACUGGCGUUCUUGAGUGGGCGAGAGGUAUGCGGAAUGCGUGGUGUAGCGGUGAAAUGCAUAGAUAUCACGCAGAACUCCGAUUGCGAAGGCAGCAUACCGGCGCCCUACUGACGCUGAGGCACGAAAGCGUGGGUAUCGAACAGGAUUAGAUACCCUUGUAGUC